ACGAACGCUGGCGGCAUGCCUAACACCUGCCAGUCGAACGCGACCUUCGGGUCUAGUGGCGCACGGGUGCGUAACGCGUGGGAACCUGCCCUUAGGUUCGGAAUAACUCCCCGAAAGGGGUGCUAAUACCGGAUAAUGUCUUCGGACCAAAGAUUUAUCGCCUUUGGAUGGGCCCGCGUUGGAUUAGCUAGUUGGUAGGGUAAGAGCCUACCAAGGCGACGAUCCAUAGCUGGUCUGAGAGGAUGAUCAGCCACACUGGGACUGAGACACGGCCCAGACUCCUACGGGAGGCAGCAGUGGGGAAUAUUGGACAAUGGGCGAAAGCCUGAUCCAGCAAUGCCGCGUGAGUGAUGAAGGCCUUAGGGUUGUAAAGCUCUUUUACCCGGGAUGAUAAUGACAGUACCGGGAGAAUAAGCUCCGGCUAACUCCGUG
This 432-nucleotide ribosomal RNA is filed under the name uncultured bacterium. Its description in RNAcentral is "partial 16S ribosomal RNA". It matches the Rfam family "Bacterial small subunit ribosomal RNA", at positions 29 to 507 of the family's 1533-position model. The record is from RNAcentral.